This is a long non-coding RNA of Malania oleifera, 817 nucleotides long. RefSeq lists it as uncharacterized. The transcript has 2 exons. The record is from RefSeq and is a predicted model, not a curated record. Lineage: Eukaryota; Viridiplantae; Streptophyta; Magnoliopsida; Santalales; Ximeniaceae.
AACCAUUUCACUAUCACCAAAUGUGGAAACAAAUGCAGAUAAAAUUCUGAGGACACUUUCACAUUGGUUGUUGUGGAUUGGGCACAAAUAAUUGACAUAAUAUUUUAUGACUUCCGCCAUAAGGAAGUGGGUGUUCUCAGCUUUUUCUCAUAUUGGUUGUCUUGGAUUGGGCAAACCAUAAUCAUUGCUUCAUUCCUCACGAAGAGAGAGAGGGAUCAGCGCACACCCUUUUACAGAGACUGUCAGAGGGAAUACCCAUCAAUUGUUAAUUCAUUUGAAUUAGAAAUUCGUUUACAGUAAUUCAGUAAUGGGCAGGAGCUUUCAUGGGAUUCCUUUCUUUGCUGGGUGCUUCCUUUAGCUGUACACUGUCGGCAGAGCUUACCGUGUGUGAACAGGAGACAGUUCAGAUCAAAUUUUAGUUCAUUUGGGAUCCGAUGGUUCAGAUGAAGAAUUGAAAGUCCAUAUUGUAAACACGGUUCGGGUUGUGAACCGGGUGAGGAGGAAGCUGUGCCUCUUGUAAGCAGCGGAGUAAGAGCAAGUUGUGCCUCUUGUAAGCAGCGGAUUGUAAGGGAAGCUUCGUCCCAAUUAAAGGCGCAAGGAUUUAGUGGAAUCCUUGAGUGAGUUACUCAAGGUGAGGACGUAGGCCGGAUUAGCUGAACCUCGUAAAAUCGUAUUUGCCUUCUCUCUUUCCUUAACUUUUUAAUUUUCGUUUGCAUUUCAUUAUCAGCUUUUGCAUGUUUGUAUGUUGAUAAAUAUUACAUGCACUUGAUAAUUAAUUGGAUAUAAUUGAAUUUAUUGAGAUAAUAAUUUGAAUUAA